This 474-nucleotide ribosomal RNA is filed under the name Ischnocnema guentheri (Steindachner's robber frog). Its description in RNAcentral is "partial 16S ribosomal RNA". It matches the Rfam family "Bacterial large subunit ribosomal RNA", at positions 1844 to 2570 of the family's 2925-position model. The record is from RNAcentral. Lineage: Eukaryota; Metazoa; Chordata; Amphibia; Anura; Brachycephalidae.
UAGGAGGUCCGACCUGCCCAGUGAUAUUAAUUCAACGGCCGCGGUAUUUUGACCGCGCUAAGGUAGCACAAUCACUUGUCUCUUAAAUGGGGACUAGUAUGAAAGGACCCACGAGAAUCUAACUGUCUCCUUUCUUUAAUCAGUGAAACUAAUCUCCCUGUGAAAAAGCAGGGAUCAUUAUAUAAGACGAGAAGACCCUAUGGAGCUUUAGAUAAAGCAAUAGAAAUUUUAUUGCCAAUCUUCGGUUGGGGUGACCACGGAGUAAAACUAAUCCUCCACGCCAAAUGGAACUUUCCAUGACAAAGAACUACAGUUCUACGAACCAAAAAAUUGACAAUUGACCCAAUAUUUGAUCAACGAAACAAGUUACCCUAGGGAUAACAGCGCAAUCUACUUCAAGAGUCCCUAUUGACAAGUGGGUUUACGACCUCGAUGUUGGAUCAGGGUGUCCAAGUGGUGCAGCCGCUACUAAAG